RNAcentral lists this ribosomal RNA (480 nucleotides) under uncultured bacterium. RNAcentral's name for it is "partial 16S ribosomal RNA". It matches the Rfam family "Bacterial small subunit ribosomal RNA", at positions 29 to 507 of the family's 1533-position model. The record is from RNAcentral.
AUGAACGCUGGCGGCGUGCUUAACACAUGCAAGUCGCACGAAACACCUUAUUUGAUUUUCUUCGGAACUGAAGAUUUGGUGAUUGAGUGGCGGACGGGUGAGUAACGCGUGGGUAACCUGCCCUGUACAGGGGGAUAACAGUCAGAAAUGACUGCUAAUACCGCAUAAGACCACAGCACCGCAUGGUGCAGGGGUAAAAACUCCGGUGGUACAGGAUGGACCCGCGUCUGAUUAGCUGGUUGGUGAGGUAACGGCUCACCAAGGCGACGAUCAGUAGCCGGCUUGAGAGAGUGAACGGCCACAUUGGGACUGAGACACGGCCCAAACUCCUACGGGAGGCAGCAGUGGGGAAUAUUGCACAAUGGGGGAAACCCUGAUGCAGCGACGCCGCGUGAGUGAAGAAGUAUUUCGGUAUGUAAAGCUCUAUCAGCAGGGAAGAAAAUGACGGUACCUGACGAAGAAGCCCCGGCUAACUACGUG